UACGGGAGGCAGCAGUAGGGAAUCUUCGGCAAUGGACGAAAGUCUGACCGAGCAACGCCGCGUGAGUGAAGAAGGUUUUCGGAUCGUAAAACUCUGUUGUUAGAGAAGAACAAGGAUGAGAGUAAAAUGUUCAUCCCUUGACGGUAUCUAACCAGAAAGCCACGGCUAACUACGUGCCAGCAGCCGCGGUAAUACGUAGGUGGCAAGCGUUGUCCGGAUUUAUUGGGCGUAAAGCGAGCGCAGGCGGUUUCUUAAGUCUGAUGUGAAAGCCCCCGGCUCAACCGGGGAGGGUCAUUGGAAACUGGGAGACUUGAGUGCAGAAGAGGAGAGUGGAAUUCCAUGUGUAGCGGUGAAAUGCGUAGAUAUAUGGAGGAACACCAGUGGCGAAGGCGGCUCUCUGGUCUGUAACUGACGCUGAGGCUCGAAAGCGUGGGGAGCGAACAGGAUUAGAUACCCUGGUAGUCCACGCCGUAAACGAUGAGUGCUAAGUGUUGGAGGGUUUCCGCCCUUCAGUGCUGCAGCAAACGCAUUAAGCACUCCGCCCUGGGGAGUACGACCGCAAGG
Molecule: ribosomal RNA, 564 nt
Filed under: Enterococcus casseliflavus
Lineage: Bacteria; Bacillati; Bacillota; Bacilli; Lactobacillales; Enterococcaceae
Description: bacterial SSU rRNA
Rfam family: Bacterial small subunit ribosomal RNA
Source: RNAcentral